Panicum hallii is the source of this 1065-nucleotide RNA transcript. It is a transcript of the gene named anaphase-promoting complex subunit 10, with no coding region annotated. Lineage: Eukaryota; Viridiplantae; Streptophyta; Magnoliopsida; Poales; Poaceae. The record is from RefSeq and is a predicted model, not a curated record. The transcript is spliced from 6 exons.
AAAAGCUACCCCAACUUUUCCCCUCUCACCGCGCCGAUGGAAUCAGACGCCGAGGAGGAGGCCGUGGCGACCCCGGCGCCGGCGGCUGGGCCGGCCGCGGGGCGGCUGAAGGGAAGCCCGGAGCUGACUGUGGACGCGGACAUGCGGGAGAUGGCGAAGACGGGCGCGUGGAGCGUCAGCUCCUGCAAGGCCGGCAACGGCGUCGCGGCCCUCCGCGACGACAACCUAGACACCUACUGGCAGUCGGACGGCGCGCAGCCGCACCUGGUGAACAUCCAGUUCCAGAAGAAGGUGCAGCUGCAGCUUGUUGUGCUCUACGUGGAUUUCAAGCUAGACGAGAGCUACACGCCGAGCAAGAUCUCCAUCCGGGCCGGGGAUGGCUUCCACAACCUCAAGGAAAUUAAAACUGUGGAGCUUGCAAAGCCAGUUGGUUGGGUCCAUAUAUCAUUAUCUGGGGCUGAUCCACGAGAAACAUUCAUUCAUACAUUUAUGCUCCAAAUUGCGAUUUUGUCCAAUCACCUAAACGGGCGGGACACUCAUAUCCGACAGAUCAAGAUCUAUGGGCCAAGACCGUAAGUGGAUACCAUACAAGCACCCACCUACCUGUGUAUUAAUGUUUAGUAAUACGAGAAUCCUGUUCCCCACCAGCCAUUUCAUUUCACUUCCAGGGAGUUCAUCACAUACUCCACCAUUAGAUGACAAUCAGCAAACCUAGUUGUCUGUAAUCCUCCAUGCUGGAGUUGCCUGCUGAAGAUUGGAGAGAGCUUAUACAGUUCAGAGUUAAGGUUUGCAAGCGCAAGCUUUGAUCAGUGCAGGUAGGAUUCAACACUUUAAGCAUCUGUCGAAGCCCUAGUUGCCCCUUCAAGCCUCAACUGGAGAACUGACAUUUUCUGUACGAAUUAACAAUUUGUAUCCAUGAAUGUAUAACAUUAUUCACCUUCAUGUGCAUGAGAGCUUCUCUGGGAGAAUAUCGUCCUGGGAACUCCGUUGCACCUUUUUAACUACUUCUAACACCUACCUGAUUCAUUUGAUAUAGAUUAUUUAUGAUGAUCUUUUUAAGCGAAA